RNAcentral lists this ribosomal RNA (779 nucleotides) under uncultured bacterium. RNAcentral describes it as "bacterial SSU rRNA". It matches the Rfam family "Bacterial small subunit ribosomal RNA", at positions 28 to 826 of the family's 1533-position model. The record is from RNAcentral.
GACGAACGCUGGCGGCGUGCUUAACACAUGCAAGUCGAGCGGUAAGGCCCCUUCGGGAGUACACGAGCGGCGAACGGGUGAGUAACACGUGAGCAAUCUGCCCUUCACAUCGGGAUAACCCCCGGAAACGGGAGCUAAUACCGGAUACGACCACUUCAGGCAUCUUCUGGUGGUGGAAAGUUCUGGCGGUGAAGGAUGAGCUCGCGGCCUAUCGGCUUGUUGGUGGGGUAAUGGCCCACCAAGGCUUCGACGGGUAGCCGGCCUGAGAGGGUGACCGGCCACACUGGGACUGAGACACGGCCCAGACUCCUACGGGAGGCAGCAGUGGGGAAUAUUGGACAAUGGGCGAAAGCCUGAUCCAGCAAUGCCGCGUGGGUGAAGAAGGUUUUCGGAUUGUAAAGCCCUUUCGGCGGCGACGAUGAUGUCGGUACCCGCAGAAUAAACCACGGCUAGCUUCGUGCCGUCAGCCGCGGUAAUACGAAAGGGGCUAGCGUUGCUCGGAAUGACUUGGCGUAGAGGGCGCGUAUGCGGCUCAUACAGUCACAUGUGAAAUUCCUGCCCGUAACCUGGGGGCUGCAUUUGAUACGAGUGGGCUUGAGUGGGGAAGAGGGUCGUGAAAUUCCCAUUGUAGAGGUGAAAUUCAUAUAUAUUGAUAAGAACACGAGUGGCGAAGGCGGCGACCUGUCUCUUGACUGACGCUGACGCUCAAAAGCGAGGGGAGCAAACACGAUUAGAUACCCUGGCAGUGCAUGUCGUAAACGUAGGGCACUAGGUGUGGG